Long non-coding RNA from Ixodes scapularis (black-legged tick), 257 nucleotides. RefSeq lists it as uncharacterized. Lineage: Eukaryota; Metazoa; Arthropoda; Arachnida; Ixodida; Ixodidae. The transcript has 3 exons. The record is from RefSeq and is a predicted model, not a curated record.
AAAUGACCUUGCCAUGUCAGGGACGAACACCUUACACUACACUACCCAGCAACAGGGCCAUACGGUGCAGAGAGGACCUGCCCACGCCGGGGAUUGUCACCUUACAGUAUGCCACACAAUUACAGGGCCAUGAAAAGACAGCUGCAAGAUGACACAGGGCAAGAUGGUUUCCCUAUGCGUAAAGAUUGAGCACCAACCUCCGAGAUGGAUCAAGAGUAGGGCCACUAGAAGCACCUGUAUGGAUAGGACACGAGUGU